This 75-nucleotide transfer RNA is filed under the name endosymbiont of unidentified scaly snail isolate Monju. RNAcentral describes it as "tRNA-Gln (TTG) (tRNA-Gln-TTG-1-1)". It matches the Rfam family "tRNA". From Rfam's summary of the family: Transfer RNA (tRNA) molecules are approximately 80 nucleotides in length. Their secondary structure includes four short double-helical elements and three loops (D, anti-codon, and T loops). The record is from RNAcentral. Lineage: Bacteria; Pseudomonadati; Pseudomonadota; Gammaproteobacteria. RNAcentral also lists the same sequence under 1 other name.
UGGGGUGUCGCCAAGCGGUAAGGCACCGGACUUUGACUCCGGCAUGCGCAGGUUCGAAUCCUGCCACCCCAGCCA